ACAAUUUAAAACCAAAAAUAUUUUAGGUCUGAGAAACUCCCAAGUGAAGAGGGGUGCUGCCAUUUACAUUCAUUUGGAUGGACAUAUGGUCUGGUUUGGUAUGAAGAUGCAUAUACUUACAUCAUUAAAAUCCCUCAAUGCCUAUAUAAAGUUAAAUUUUAUAAAACAGAUACAUAUUUAGUGUCCUCUCUAUGCAGACUUUAUAAUAAUGGAUGUCUCCAAAGAGAAACAGCAUUUUGAAGCAGUGUGAAUAAUAUGGACUUAGAAAUUUUUUUUCCUUUAAAAAUCAAACUUGAUUCCAAUUGGAUGAUUAUACUUCAAUGCAUUUCUGUGUGUUCAGAUGUGGCUAACAUCUUCCAGUGGAGUCAUAAGGGAAUACACACACCAGGACAACCAGAAGAGAAUGAAACCUUAAAAUACCACUUUCCUGGAGGAUGCAGGGCUGGCCCUGCCUUAUGGAAUGCUUCAUGGAUAUUUAGAUUUCUCUGAGUGGUCUUGAAGAUUUAUAAGCUCUUAUAGCCAUUUAAGUGGGUAUUACUGCCUUUCUGAAAGAGCUUGAUAUAGUUACUGUAAAAUUUCUGCCAGCAUUGCCAGCUGACCCUGUAACUUCUUGGAGACAAAGAGGCUCGGUUUAUGGAAGCUGUGCACCCCAGCUGUUCCCAUUUUCAUGAACGAGCUCAAGGUGCUUGACUAAGAAUCAAUAAAGUUAUAAACUCCAGACUGGAUUUUUGAAAG
RNAcentral lists this long non-coding RNA (735 nucleotides) under Monodelphis domestica (gray short-tailed opossum). RNAcentral's name for it is "lncRNA (ENSMODG00000036901.1)". Lineage: Eukaryota; Metazoa; Chordata; Mammalia; Didelphimorphia; Didelphidae. The record is from RNAcentral.